Molecule: long non-coding RNA, 4772 nt
Filed under: Nicotiana tabacum (common tobacco)
Lineage: Eukaryota; Viridiplantae; Streptophyta; Magnoliopsida; Solanales; Solanaceae
Description: long non-coding RNA (NTAB_LNC002607)
Source: RNAcentral
UGCUGGGCCAGUUACUCAGGCCCAAUGGCCUUUGGGAACGAAAGCCCAGUGAUUUACAACUCAAAAUUUCAUACACCAUUGCAAAAAAUGAAAGAACUACGAACUAAUCUAAGCAUGAGUACAUGUUCAUCCGGAUUUAAAAUUACAACACCAAAUUCACUACAUCAGAAAUCUUGACUUGAAUUUAUAAUAACAAACGCUUUUAUGAACUAGCAUCCUACAUUUCUGGGAUUAAACAAUGUCAUAACAAAUAAGGUUUCCGAUAAUUAAUUCAUAUCUCCUGAUGCCUUUGACUCGUACAAGUUUAAACUCUUCAUUCAACCUUCAAACUCAUGUGCUUAAAAACUUCAGUGGCUAGCAAACUCAAGCCCGAUCUCUCACAAAUUUAUUAAGUGUUCACAAUCACCAAUAACAUGAUGAUGUUAAUUCUCAAAUUGCUAACACGUAUCAUACUAAGCUAAACACAAAUCAAUCUGUUACAAUUAGAGGCAGAUUUUUGUUUUUACUCAAACACAGAAAUAUUGUCACAAAAACAUACUAGAUUUGACUUUGUGACAUCUUAUCUAAAAACAUUAAUCGCGCGAAGAGCAAUAAUGGAUCUGGACACACAUAGAUCUAUGAAGAACCAACAUGAUUUCAAUUUGAGGAAUUACAAACUACUUAAGUGUCAGCAACACGAGUCAAGGAAUGCAUUUUAAUUUCAUAACCAAAACAUGCCAUAUCAUCAUUAAACUCAAUACAUUUAGAGAUCUAUAAGAAGCACUAAGUUAAAACCUGAACAACGAGAGAGAUUUAGGACCAAAUAAAGUUUAGAAAAUUCGAAGAGGGAGCUCAGCUACGAAACCAUAGAAUCAACAGCGAAUCAACAACAAUUAAUAGAGUUUUUGAGAUGGAAUUACUCCUUUGGAACCCAACAAGUAAGGAAUAAUCGGUCACAGGUGGAAACACUCUUCAAAUCCUUUUGAAAUCCUAAGCUUUCUACUGUUUUUGGAGUCUUUGAUCUCAGAUCUCUUUUUUGAAUUUUUUUGACUUUAGAAAUUUUUGGUUUUCCGCUGUUUUUGAAUACUGCUGAAUUUUCAGAGUGAAAUGGGUCUGUGUGCGAAUUUUUUAGACUCUGAAUACAUGCCCAAAGUAUGAGGAGGAAUGCCUUAUUUAUAGAUUAUUGGUUAGGGCUCUUUUCAAAUUUCCCUUUUUGUUUUACCCCUCUUAUUUUCAGUUUUUACUCCAACAGUCCCUAAUAAUAACAAACCCUUCUACAUCUUCUUUGCAAAUUAAUCAUUUUCAACACCUUCCUCGAAGUUUCCUAAAAGAUUCUCUAAGGGUGGAAUUCCUUAAUUAUCCCGUGUCUUUCCAGUAUUUACCAAUUUUUAGAAAUUAACUUUCUUUUAACUCAAUUACUACUCUUGUUUUACCACAUAUUUCACUAAAUUUCUGGCAGUGAGCCUUAGACUAAAAGAAUAAUAGGCAAUGUCGACCUGGGCUCAAAGCCCACUGGUCUUUUGUAUUUUUGACAAGUCUGUUAAUGACCUAGCCUAAUUUCAUUUAAAUUUGAACCAAACUAACUAAGAGAGUAUUUAAACACUAACAAAAUAUAUGGAAAAUUUACAACAAAAAUAAAAAAUAAGCCAACUCAUAAACUAAUUAGCUAACACAAAAUCGAACUAACAGAAGAAUACUCUUAACUUCUAAUGCUAUUUGAUCAAUAAUUAAAAUAUGCGAUUAUUCACCUAUAAAUAAAAAAAAUGACAACACAUAAAAAAACCAUAGAAGAAGAGGAGGGAAGAGUAUACCUAUUGGAUCAAACCGAGCUGUCAAGAGAAAAUUCCGAUGAGCCAGAGGAUUGCUACACAAGCACCAACCAAAAUUUGUCACGCCGGCCAGUGCUAUAUGUAGCAAUAGCUCUUGCAUGCUGGAGGUGAUGAACGAAGAAGCUUUGAGAGGACUGGCCGGUCAACCAGAAUUUGAUCGGGCCCCGAUGGCCACGAAAUGAGACGAAACCACCACCAAUCGACAAUACUCAUCAAGAGAUGUCGAUUAGUGUGAAUUUUAACCUCAGACGUGUAAGAAUAGAAGAGGAAUCAAGAAAGACUUAAAUUCCCAGGUCUACUAAUCGUGGAGUUUGGGUGGAUUUUUACGGAAAUGGUUGAGAAAUUAGGGACGAGGAGGAGUGAGGAGUAUCUGGUGAAAAUAUUUAGCCAAUUGGUGGUGGUCCGCCGCCGUGGCGAUUUUCGGCGGCGAUCAGACGGUGGUCCUCCACGGCGUGAAGGCGGAAGGAGGACAGUGGGCGGUGAAAGCAAUUUUUGGCCGCCCAAGAGAGAUGAGAGAGAAUGGGGAUUAGGGGUGGUGUAUAAAUAUUGAAUUUUUAUCAAUCAUUUUUAUUAUAAAGGGAAAAUCAGUGAAAUGACAUAGCUAUGUUGCGAGACUACUUUGUUUAGAUGGUCUGAUGCUAAGAUUGUUUGGACCGGGUAUUGAAUUGUACUGCACGGGUAUUCUUAGUAAAACUGGGCCCAAAAUCGUGGCCCAGUCUCAUUUUGAGCUUAGUAGCCUUAUCCUCCCUUCUUCUUCAUUUUACAAUUAGCCACUAAUCAACUGACAUACCAUUUGCAAAAUUAUCCUACUAACUGAUUCUAUCUAAUGACUUACUAUAAAAAUUAUAAAUUAUCCUACUAAUUAUGUGAGUAAGUAGGUCCAAAAAUGCAGAGUUAUUAGCUAAUAUAUUUUUAUGAUUUUGUGUUUAAUAAAAACUGCAAUUAGCAGGCAUUUGAGUGCCAGCAAUGCAAUUAGAAUCUGAAAAUACGAUGAAUGAAAUAAAAAGGUAUUUUUGGUGAUUUUCUAUGAUUUAACAUGCUCUUAGUAAUACAAAUAAUGCAUACAAACUAACAAAGAAAAAAUCUUUAAAGUUUCAAGAAAAAUCAAAAUAAUUGAUAAUACUAUUUUUAGACCUUUUAGGAGCAAUUUCAGGUGAGGCAAAAAUUACGUGCUCACAGUAACCUGUACAUGCAACCUAGUUCUUCCAUAUAAUCAAUCUGGUUUGUUAAUGGUGUACCCUGUGUUGAAAAACACAAUUAGGGAUUGGUGUACCCUAUACUGAAAAAGAGAUUAGGGAGUGAUGUACCCUAUACUGAAAAAGAGACUAGGGAGUAAUGUACCCUAUAUUAGCAAUGAGAUCAGGGAAUGUUGUACCCUACAUUUAAGAUCAUUAACUAGGGAAUGAUGUACCCUAUACUGGUAAAGAGACUAGGGAGUGGUGUACGCUAUAUUAGCAAUGAGAUCACGAAAUGGUGUACCCUACAUUACAUAUAUAUACUAAACUAUACUAUAUAUACUAAACUAUACUAUAUAUAUAUAUAUAUAUAUAUAUAUAUAUAUAUACUAUACACUUAGUAUAUAUUUACUUUUUAGUAGUAACAUGAAAGGACCAAAGUAUGGUACUUCUUAGCUGGUAUAAAUAUGGAAGGAUAAAAGAUCAAGUUUUAGCUCAACUCAGUAUAUAUUAUAGUAUAGUAUAUAUAUAAGCUAUAUUUGNNNNNNNNNNNNNNNNNNNNNNNNNCUAUUUUAUAAAUAGCCAAUGGCUAUAUUUUAUUUUAUUUUAAAUUUUGUUUUUUUUUUAAAAAAUAAAAAUAAAUUAGCCGUUGGGACCGUUUGGCCCGCUAAGGGACCGGGCCGGUCCCAGACCCUGGCGGGCUAACGGUCCCGGGCCUGACGAGCUCAGAUCAUAGGACCGACCCACGAGACUGGCCCAGAACCGCUAAAAUCGGGCCAAACAGUCCUGGCCCGUUUAGCCCGUUUGGCCCGUUUGGCCCGCGGUCCCGGGCCUGGACCGGCCCACUUGCCACCCUUACCCACUGGUCUUCUGUAUUUUUGACAAGUCUGUUAAUGACCUAGCCUAAUUUCUUUUAAAUUUGAACCAAACUAACUAGGACAGUAUUUAAACACUAACAAAAUAUAUGGGAAAUUUACAACAAAAAUAAAAAAUAAGUUAACUCAUAAACUAAUUAGCUAACACAAAAUCGAACUAACAGAAGAAUACUCUUAACUUCUAAUGCUAUUUGAUCAAUAAUUAAAACAUGCGAUUAUUCACCUAUGAAUUACAAACACUGACAACACAUAAAAAAAGAAAAAACGUAGAAGAAAAGGAGGGAAGAGUAUACCUAUUGGAUUAAACCGAGCUGUCAAGAGGAAAUUCCGAUGAGCCGGAGGAUUGCUACACAAGCACCAACCAAAAUUUGUCAUGCCGGCCAGUGCUAUAUGUAGCAAUAGCUCCUGCAUGCUGGAGGUGAUGAACGAAGAAGCUUUGAGAGGACUGGCAGGUCUACCAGAAUUUGAUCGGGCCCCGAUGGCCACGAAAUGAGACGAAACCACCACCAAUCGACAAUACUCAUCAAGAGAUGUCGAUUAGUGUGAAUUUUAACCUUAGACAAGUAAGAAUUGAAGAGGAAUCAAGAAAGGGGCAAUUUCAGUUUUUCUUAAAUUCUCAGGUCUACUAAUCGUGGAGUUUGGGUGGAUUUUUGCGAAAAUGGUUGAGAAAUUAGGGACGAGGAGGAGUGAGGAGUAUCUGGUGAAAAUUUUAGCCAAUUGGCAGUGGUCCGCCGCCGUGACAAUUUUCGGCGGCGGUUAGACGGUGGUCCACCGUGGCGUGAAGGCGGAAGGAGGACAGUGGGCGGCGAAAGCAAUUUUCGGCCGCCCAAGAGAGAUGAGAGAGGAUGGGGAUUAGGGGUGGUGUAUAAAUAUUGAAUUUUUAUCAAUCAUUUUUAUUAUAAAGGGGAAAACAG